UUUCCGUAGGUGAACCUGCGGAAGGAUCAUUACCGAAUUGUUAACACGAGUUGUUGCUGGUCCUCAAACGGGGGCAUGUGCACGCUCUGUUUACACAUCCACCCACACCUGUGCACCCUCUGUAGUUCUAUGGCGUGGGGGACUCUGUCCUCCUGUUGUGGUUCUACAUUCUUUACACACACUCUGUAACAAAGUCUUAUGGAACGCAUGACGCGUUUAACGCAAUACAAUACAACUUUCAGCAACGGAUCUCUUGGCUCUC
This 262-nucleotide unclassified non-coding RNA is filed under the name soil metagenome. Its description in RNAcentral is "partial contains small subunit ribosomal RNA, internal transcribed spacer 1, and 5.8S ribosomal RNA". The record is from RNAcentral.